CAGCAGCCACGGUAAUCCGAAGGGGGCUAGCGUUGCUCGGAAUGACUGGGCGUAAAGGGCGCGUAGGCGGUUGACACAGUCAGAUGUGAAAUUCCCGGGCUUAACCUGGGAAUGGCAAUGGAUACUGGCAAGCUAGAGUGUGUCAGAGGAUGGUGGAAUUCCCGGUGUAGCGGUGAAAUGCGUAGAGAUCGGGAGGAACAUCAGUGGCGAAGGCGGCCAUCUGGGACAACACUGACGCUGAGGCACGAAAGCGUGGGGAGCAAACAGGAUUAGAUACCCCUGUAGUCCCUGUCUCUUAUAA
This 301-nucleotide ribosomal RNA is filed under the name uncultured bacterium. RNAcentral describes it as "partial 16S ribosomal RNA". It matches the Rfam family "Bacterial small subunit ribosomal RNA", at positions 509 to 809 of the family's 1533-position model. The record is from RNAcentral.